GACGAACGCUGGCGGCGUGCCUAAUACAUGCAAGUUGAGCGCUGAAGGUUGGUACUUGUACCAACUGGAUGAGCAGCGAACGGGUGAGUAACGCGUGGGGAAUCUGCCUUUGAGCGGGGGACAACAUUUGGAAACGAAUGCUAAUACCGCAUAAAAACUUUAAACACAAGUUUUAAGUUUGAAAGAUGCAAUUGCAUCACUCAAAGAUGAUCCCGCGUUGUAUUAGCUAGUUGGUGAGGUAAAGGCUCACCAAGGCGAUGAUACAUAGCCGACCUGAGAGGGUGAUCGGCCACAUUGGGACUGAGACACGGCCCAAACUCCUACGGGAGGCAGCAGUAGGGAAUCUUCGGCAAUGGACGAAAGUCUGACCGAGCAACGCCGCGUGAGUGAAGAAGGUUUUCGGAUCGUAAAACUCUGUUGGUAGAGAAGAACGUUGGUGAGAGUGGAAAGCUCAUCAAGUGACGGUAACUACCCAGAAAGGGACGGUUAACUACGU
This 496-nucleotide ribosomal RNA is filed under the name uncultured bacterium. RNAcentral's name for it is "partial 16S ribosomal RNA". It matches the Rfam family "Bacterial small subunit ribosomal RNA", at positions 28 to 506 of the family's 1533-position model. The record is from RNAcentral.